CCCUUAGAUGUUCUGGGUCGCACGCGCGCUACACUGAUUCAUGCAACAAGUUUUGUCCUUGGCUGAUAGGCCUGGGUAAUCUUUGAACGUGAAUCGUGAUGGGGAUAGAUGAUUGCAAUUAUUCAUCUUCAACGAGGAAUUCCUAGUAAACGCAAGUCAUCAGCUUGCAUUGAUUACGUCCCUGCCCUUUGUACACACCGCCCGUCGCACCUACCGAUUGAAUGGUCCGGUGAAAUCUUCGGAUCUGAGAGAUGUCUGAUUAAUUUCGGACGCCUUUUGGAAAAGUUGCUUAAACCUUACCAUUUAGAGGAAGGUGAAGUCGUAACA
Molecule: ribosomal RNA, 327 nt
Filed under: uncultured eukaryote
Lineage: Eukaryota
Description: partial 18S ribosomal RNA
Rfam family: Eukaryotic small subunit ribosomal RNA
Source: RNAcentral